GUCCAGUUGGGAUUUUUCCAAAUGUGUUUUGAGUCUUGCGUUUGGCCUGUGGCCCUGCUGGGAUCAUACCCUGAGCACCAGGAAGCAAGCUUGUUUCUGAGGCAGCUCUGCAGUCUGAUUCGCUGAAAUGCAUGUUGGUUGGAAGAUUGCUUUUCUCUUUCCUGGCCUGCUCCUCUCCUCAGCCUCCCUUUCUGUAGACACUGUGGAGAGGGCAUCGUUUGUUCGUCACAGACAUGGACAUUAAUAGAUACAACCCAGAAGCAUCCUGAUCAUUUCGCUUUGCUUAGUUUGUUCCACAGAGUGGAAAUGGGUGCCUGUUCAAUUUGGUGGGUUUGAGUCCCUGAGGAGAACCCAGCUCACUGAAUAGAUAGCUAAUUAAAAAAAUAUUUAACACAAGGACACCUCUUUCCCCAAAGUGCCAUCACAUGUGUUCUUAUCUCAGAUGGUCACUGUUUUCAAGGUUUCCCAAAACGCGCCUCUCCUGCACCCUUCCUGGGCUCGGUGGCCUUCGCCUGCCCUCAGCCAAGGAGUUCUUAAUUUAUUGCACAAGGGUAUUCACUUCCCCUCAGCUGCAGUGAAUUGCAAGCAAAAGAUCUUGAAAUUAAAAAGCACUAUUGAGUUUAAAACGUCACUUUUUUGGUUUUUAUUCUACAAAAACCAUGAAGUACUUUUUUUAUUAGCUAAAUCAGAUUGUGUUCCUUCUUAGUGAUUCGUGUUUAUGAACAGAGUUGAGUUUAACAAUCCUAGCUUUUAAAAGAAACUAUUUAAUGUAAAAUAUUCUACAUGUCAUUCAGAUAUUAUGUAUAUCUUUUAUGGCCUUUAUUCUAUGCUUUUAAUGUACAUAUUUCCAUCUUGUGUGAUUUGUAUAUUUCACUGGUUUAAAAAACAAACAUUGAGAGGCUUAUGCCAAUGGAAGAUAGAAUAUAAAAUAAAAUGUUACUUGUAUAUUGGUAAGUGGUUUCGGUUGUCCUUUAGAUAACUCACAUGGAGAUUUUUGGAGAAGUCAUGAGGGAUAGUGUAGGAUAACUACAUGUUAAAAUAAUGGAAGAGUGGAGAAUUUUACAAAAACCAAACUAUUUGGAAGCUUCAAAAGAUUUCUAUAUGUAGCAGAACAAAAGGGGAAUUCUCUUUUCCUAUAUAUGUUCCUAAAAAAAAAAUCAAGCAGAUGGCUUAAAGCUGGUUAUAGGAUUGCUCACAUUCUUUUAGCAUUAUGCAUGAAACUUAAUUGUUUUAGAGCAUGUUGCUAUUGUAACAUCCCAGAGAAGAGCUACAAAGCCACAUACUUUUAUCCAUGACCAGCGUUUUAGUUCCUCCCACCCCGAAAUGUAUCUUUGUAUUUACCACUGCAACAAUUGCACCUCUCUCUUUGAAUUUACUGUGGGCCAUGUGUGAUGCUCCUCUGCCCCUUUGAAAGCAAUUUUUAUGAAAGGAAAGCCUCAGUCCACAGAGAAUGAAAACUUUGGAAACUUAAAGGUUUGUUGUGUUAAGUGCGAUUCAUACACAUGCUUGCGCUUCAUGCAAAUGUGCACUGGGGCUGGCCAGGGCUGCAAAGAUUGAUCCUCCACCCUUUGCUUUUUUUCUUUCCAGAUGACGUCUAACGUAUUGAAACCUCUUAAGGAUGCCAAAAACACAUUAUUUUAAAAAA
Molecule: long non-coding RNA, 1645 nt
Organism: Heterocephalus glaber (naked mole-rat)
Lineage: Eukaryota; Metazoa; Chordata; Mammalia; Rodentia; Bathyergidae
Source: Ensembl